GUUUAGAAGAACAGCAAGGAGGCUGACUGGGCUGAAGCAGAGGGAAUGAGGAGAGAAGGAGGAGAUGGAUUCUCGAGGAGUCACACUGGUCAGCAAUGGCCAGAGAAGAAAGGGCUCUGCGGCUCUGGGAGACAGUGUGAAACUUCAACGGUGUGCUGUAAAGAAAUUCAGCUCUAGACUCUGUGAGAGAAUGGAGAAAUGUGAACCCAAACCCAAAAAUGAAAGCACAGAAGAAAGCCCCAACCUCACAUGGGAAUGGGUCCAGCCUGGGAGGCACUGUCUCCCCUGUGAAGCAACAGUAUCACAAGACUGUCAUAUUAUUUUUUACAUUAAUAAUUCUAGAAUUAAAAUAAAUUUUAUGUUCGGGG
Long non-coding RNA from Mustela lutreola (European mink), 368 nucleotides. RefSeq lists it as uncharacterized. The transcript has 3 exons. NCBI's taxonomy places the organism in Eukaryota, Metazoa, Chordata, Mammalia, Carnivora, Mustelidae. The record is from RefSeq and is a predicted model, not a curated record.